Molecule: long non-coding RNA, 5329 nt
Organism: Trachemys scripta elegans
Lineage: Eukaryota; Metazoa; Chordata; Testudines; Emydidae
Exons: 5
Source: RefSeq, a predicted model, not a curated record
UCACUAUCUAAAUUCAACAUGACAAGUGCAGCUCUGAACAAACAGGGUGAGAAAAGAUAAGGGUGACAAUGCUAUCACAUGGUGAGGCGCUGCAGAGUAGCCAUCUGUAAAAGGAAUUGACAAGGUUAUGCUGCACUCUUGUAAGUGAUCCCUGAGUCCGAAACUGGCUGUCUCUAUCGAGACUGGACAGGGAGCAGACUGGAAGCAAAUCUCUGUGUGGGUGCUCAUUCGGUCAUUCCUGUGCUACACUCACGAUGUGCGUAUAAGCAGCUUGAUGCAGAUCCUUCCUGAAUGAGGGCACUAGGGACCAUGGCAUGAGAAUGCUAUUGCAAGAAGACAUUAACUCAUCCUCACAAGUUGCUUGUAAGGGACAGGCUCCUUCUGUUUAUAAUCAUGCCAUUUGCAUGCGGAUCCCUCGAAUUGCUUUUAGCAAAGACCCUCCACAGAAUCCCAAGAAGCUGUUUUAUUGCAACCUGCCUGAGGAUUCCGGAGGGAAUGUCAUUACUUGGGUUGAUUUCCUCCCCCCAAAUUACCUGCAAGAGGGAGAGUGCUCAUUCCUGAACCAACUGCCGGAAACACAGGAUCACACUGGGAAGCUACAGUAAUGCAAUGCUCCUUAAAACAAAGCCCUGAACAUAUUUUUACACAACCCACCCUUGAAUGCAGUCCCGGCGGCUACAAAGCUGCCCAUCUUUUCUCUAGCAACUUGUGGUUCACCACAGCCUUUGUAACGUUGGCAGAGUAGGAGCAAAUACUCGAUCAUUUCUGCUUUAUUCUCUUUAGCCACAAAACCCAGCUCCCAAAGCGCAGUGCUGUUUUUAAUAAUGACAUCUUGAGCGCCUUUCAGAGCCUGUCUGAAAGAAAAUACAGGCCUUUAAUAAGUUAUUUUAAUGCCCUUAACUCUGGAGAAAAGGAAGCAGGGGGACAUACAUCUCUGCAAAAGUUUCAGAGUCUGGAAGAAUCUGAUUCAGAAACAAAAGCCUUUUGAAUCUCUCUUGAUUCCCCCCCCCCAUUCCUGAUCUUCCCCUCUCUUUCUUCCUUCCUUCACGUUCCCCCCUCCCCUGCUGAGCAGUAACAGUGCCAACUUAUCAGAUACGUUUAGCUGCCAGCUUCCCAGAUCCUUUCCUUUGAAUGUGACCUGGCAGCAGCUUGGUGGAACUUUUCAACUGCUAUAUGUGUCAUAUGCUAUGAAGAAGAAGAAGAAAAACGGAAGUAUAAUGACUACUGGAAUACAUGAUUCAUGGCAAAGUCAAGAGUGGGGGAAUGCGAGGCAAUUUAUUUUAACCCGUAAGGCAACUAACUAUCCAACAGGAGACGGAGAUGGGGAAACAAGCAUUGUAAUAUUUUGCCUUCAUCUGAGGAUCUCAAUCCCCUUAUAAUCAGCUAUGAAUUAAGGCUCAUGACAGCCCCUUGGCAAUGGCUUGAGAAAAAGCUAGGCAGGGGGAGUGAAAAUGAAGGGGCCCUGAAGCAAUAUGGAUAGCAAGCGGGCUGUCUAAAAUGGGUGGCAGGACAGUGGUUACACCUGUGCCACAAUGGUUGUGUCAUUCAAUCAGUCUGACACGGGGGAAAUGAAGCACAUAGCCGUUAAGUGACUUGUCCAUAGUAAGACGACAAGUCAGUAGUAGAUUUGAGAUUAGGAACCAGGUAUCUUGACUUCCAGUCUUCUGCUUUAACCACUAGAUGAUACUGCCUGUCUUUAAAAUAAAAAUCCCCAGCGUAGAAACAUGCAGCUUCACCUCCGUGAGUGCCUGUUCAGGAAAUGGUCUGUUCUAAUACAUCUGAUUACUAUAAAACAAUGACCAUCCUGUGUGUCGUUGUAAACAUUUUUUUAAAAAAAGGGGAAAGUAUGACUCAGAACACUGGUCCUCCUCCCAGCACUGCCACUGUCUCACUGAGGCCAGUCACCUAUCCCGCUUUGUGCCUUAGUUUACCCCUCUGUAAACCAGAUAUAGUAAUCAUUUUUCAUUAUUAAGUACCUGGAGGAAAGUCUCAGGCGCAAAUAAAGACAGCCCUUGCCCUGAGGAGUUUGCUGGUCCUCAGCUGCCCCAUUAGCAAUGUCAGGAGACUUAAUGAAUUACUUUUGCCAAGUGCUUUGAGACCGGGGUUGACAGGCACUAUAGAAAUGUAAAAUAUAAUGAUUAAUUGCCUUUUCUUGGUGGGAAGUUGGUUCACUUUGCACCAAGAGAGGUGCCAUCCUCUCUUCACUUUCUGUGACUGGCAAACCAGAGGGAGUGUUUAACUUUAAAAAAAAAAAAACCCAACAUCUUUACAAAGUAACAAAUUAAGAUGCAAAUCUGGAGGGGGGGGGGUUGGGGUUUUUUUUUUUUUUUUUGCUAAUUGGCAGAAAAUUAAUGAACGUGUAGCUGACUGAGCAGAUGCUCUCAUCAAAAAAGGCAGAUUUGGAGUUUCUCUAACCCUCCUUUUUGAAAACACAUCAAGAAGGCAGUAGCAUGUGGCAGGUCAGGAAUUAAGCGAAGGUAACUGUACAGAUUGUAAAGAACACAAAGGAGGGUUUUAUGCGUGUGUGUGUGUUUUUUUCUUCUCUCUCUUUUGUUUUAACUUCCUUGCAUUGGAUUUUAUUUUAUUUUUUUAAAACCCAUAUUCCUCUGCAGCUCAUAAUUAGCAGCCAGGCCUCUGGGACCUAAUUAACCAAUUCAAUUAACAAAAAAAGCAUACAAGUCACCCUGACAUUUGUCAGCCAUUAGGAGGGAUGUGAGUCUGGCUGGUUCUGCCGACAUACUAAUGAUGAUUAGCUCAUUUGCAGCUCACUUUUACCCUAGGUGUCCACCUGGAGAGACUGGCACAAAAUGCUCUUCAGAGAGAGAGGGGUUGGGGCUGGAGCUGGGACUGGGAAGAACAUGGCCAUGACCCUCAAAGGGAGUUAUGACCUUUUAUUGAACGUACAAUCAAUAUGUUUUUGCCUCAGUUAAGAGAAGCUGCUGUCCCCUCCACCAGCUUCUAUGCUUGCUAACCUUCAGAAGAGCACUAGCCCGGAGAGCCGGGGUCCCAUACUUGCCUCAGGGGCUAAAAUCCCUUGUUUUCAACUCCUUCGAUGGGAGAGGCCUUUCUUUUCCUUGUCGAUAGCACUCUUUGCUUGCUUACCACAGCAGGGCUCCUUCGCUUGGCUGGGCUGUUUCUUAGUUCAAGCCAAGCUCUUUGUUCUUGGGAUUGAUUAACUACAGCACUCUAUAUAAUAUAGGCAGAUAUUUAUAUAGGCGUCGCUCCCGUCCCUGCUUCUGAUCUUUCUUAAUUUAACUCCAUUUCCCCAACAGCUCUGGUUUGGUAACAAGCGGCUGAUUACGAUGGAAGUGAAACCCCAGAAAAAUACGGGGCCGAAGUGCUGACAGGUUGAGGGGGCAUGUGCCAGUUGCUUUUUAACACCCAAGAGCAACUUCCCCUUUCCCAUUUAGGGGGGAUGUCACUGCCCGAUUUCAGUCUCUCUAGAUAUUUGCGUAGUGCUUGUCAUCCGAGUGUGCGCCAGAUCCAGCUGCUGUUGAAAUCAAUGGAAAGACGCCCAUGGAUUCAACGGGAUCAGGCCCUUGCAGCGCUUUGUCCAGAGGAGUGAAAUUCCCUAAUGCUAUAAAGACUUCAGGAGAGGCACUGUGGGUGUAGGCAUGGGGGCGGGGGGCAGCUAUGGACUGGGAUUGUAUGCAGUGGAGAGGUGUUUUGCACCAAAUCCAGCCUGGUGGGAGUUUUUGGCAGGAUAAGAGCAUGGUCCAAUGACUUAGGCCCCGGGUUGCAAGCUAGCCAGCAUGGGUACUAUUCCCAGUUCUGCUGCUGACCUACUGUGGAAAGUCACUGCACCUGUUUCCCCUCCUACCUGUUGUUUAGUUAGACUGCAAGCUCUUCAGGCCAGGGACUUUCUGUGCCCAUGAGUAGUGGGGCUUUGUUCUUGGUCGGCCCCCUGGGUGUUAUUGUAAAUCAUACCAUAAUAAUGGCUAGUGCUUAUGCUGAUCCAGUGGUCACAAUCUCCACUGCAGGGUUUACACAGGGGUCAUGGCAACUAUUUCCCUCAGUACAUCUGGAGGGGCUGUGGAGCUGACCCUGCCCUCAGUAGCGCUGAUCCCCGCACCCGUUUAUAGAUCUCUACACAAUCCAUUUGCCUGGAAUCUUCCACGAGCUUGGGUCUGUGCAUUUCAUUCUCCUUACCUAUUAUUCUGGUCUAUAAUAGUUGUCUACCUGCCCCAAGAAAUGGCAACUUUGCAGAUCACUGAUGGAUAUGCAUAAGUAGGGUUUCAGCCUGGGUUGAUGUUUCUAGCAGGUUUUCUGCUGAUGGGAUAAACUGUCACCUCUCUGUAUCCAGAGAUGAGAACAACAGCAAAGUAAGGAUUGAAAGACACAAGGAAUGACUUUUUACUGGAGCAGAAAGCAUCCUGUAUUUUAAAGGGAUCCGGAAACUGUCCUUAAUUUGAAGUCAUCUUCAUUCCAGGACUAGUCCCUAGAAGAGGCGACAGUGAGUGGAUGCACUAUUCAGACUAAGCCCCAUCAACCAGAACUUCAGUGCCCUGUGCAGCUUGGAUUAAUUGACUGCCCCGACACUGACCAGUGGCUCUCACACAGGGUCCAGUGGUGAUGGCUUAGUCACCGUUGAGAAUGCUGAGAACUGAAUAACACCCCUACCUGCCCCGGCAUCUAGAGUAAUGCAGCGUCACUGCUCUGAUGUACACAAUGCCUCCGAGGAAGGAAUCUUGUGCCUCUGCCAGCCAGCCAAACAGCACCCGGAGGCUGUUGGCUCGGCCAUGGAAGUAAUGCUGUAAAUUGAACCCUGCCAUCUUGUGGCAGUUUGGCAAGAGACAGCAAGAAGAAAAGCCGGUCAGGUGGCCAUGCUGCUCCAAGGCUUGCAGACUUUAAAGAGGCUUCCAAAGGAUGAUUAUUGUCUUGAAAAUGAGUAUAGCACCGCUGCCAAUUUGUGGUCCCAGUGGCUGUCACUAUGUUGCGCACCAUGGCCAGUUUCACAGUGACAGUGGGAAUAGAACUUGCAUCCUCCUCCUCCGAAAGGUCAAACACCUAUUAUUGUGGUUGGAAGAGACUCUCCAUUAGCUUUGGAGACAAUGACAUACAGUUGAGCUGCUUUAAUUAUAUCCACUAGCGGGCUGUGUGCACUAGACGGUAUAUUACAGUCUUGCUACUUUUUAUCCCUAGCAACUAUUUCCCCUUUGAACUUUCUGAACUGUUUUGGGAAAUGGCUUACCCUGAUUUGGUUUUGAGUCUUCAUUGACUAUCCACCCUCGACCCGAAAGAGACAGUUUCAUUGGCUAUGGCUUAGAUUGGUAAGCACUUACUUGCAUACGUAUGUGCUGCUCGUGCUCAUUAAAGCAUUCACAAUCUG